This 393-nucleotide ribosomal RNA is filed under the name uncultured bacterium. RNAcentral describes it as "partial 16S ribosomal RNA". It matches the Rfam family "Bacterial small subunit ribosomal RNA", at positions 523 to 918 of the family's 1533-position model. The record is from RNAcentral.
AUACGGAGGAUCCGAGCGUUAUCCGGAUUUAUUGGGUUUAAAGGGUGCGCAGGCGGGAGAUUAAGUCGGCGGUGAAAUUUUGCAGCUCGACUGUAAAAGUGCCUUCGAAACUGGUUUCCUUGAGUGUAGAUGAAGUAGGCGGAAUUUGUGGUGUAGCGGUGAAAUGCAUAGAUAUCACGAGGAACUCCGAUUGCGCAGGCAGCUUACUAAACUACUACUGACGCUCAGGCACGAAGGCGUGGGGAUCAAACAGGAUUAGAUACCCUGGUAGUCCACGCAGUAAACGAUGAUUACUAGCUGUUUGCGAUACAAUGUAAGCGGCUGAGCGAAAGCGUUAAGUAAUCCACCUGGGGAGUACGUUCGCAAGAAUGAAACUCAAAGGAAUUGACGGGG